CAACUUUCAACAAUGGAUCUCUUGGUUCUGGCAUCGAUGAAGAACGCAGCGAAAUGCGAUAAGUAGUGUGAAUUGCAGAAUUCAGUGAAUCAUCGAAUCUUUGAACGCACAUUGCGCCCCUUGGUAUUCCAUGGGGCAUGCCUGUUCGAGCGUCAUCU
RNAcentral lists this ribosomal RNA (158 nucleotides) under ascomycete sp. E49. RNAcentral's name for it is "5.8S ribosomal RNA". It matches the Rfam family "5.8S ribosomal RNA". Rfam says of the family: 5.8S ribosomal RNA (5.8S rRNA) is a component of the large subunit of the eukaryotic ribosome. It is transcribed by RNA polymerase I as part of the 45S precursor that also contains 18S and 28S rRNA. Lineage: Eukaryota; Fungi; Ascomycota. RNAcentral also lists the same sequence under 7 other names. The record is from RNAcentral.